GACGAACGCUGGCGGCGUGCUUAACACAUGCAAGUCGAACGGAAAGGCCCCUUUGGGGGUCCUCGAGUGGCGAACGGGUGAGUAACACGUGAGUAACCUGCCCUUGACUUCGGGAUAACUUCAGGAAACUGGGGCUAAUACCGGAUAGGAAUCCUUGCUGCAUGGUGGGGGUUGGAAAGCUUCGGCGGUUUUGGAUGGACUCGCGGCUUAUCAGCUUGUUGGUGGGGUAGUGGCUUACCAAGGCUUUGACGGGUAGCCGGCCUGAGAGGGCGACCGGCCACAUUGGGACUGAGAGACGGCCCAGACUCCUACGGGAGGCAGCAGGGGGGAAUAUUGCACAAUGGGCGGAAGCCUGAUGCAGCAACGCCGCGUGCGGGAUGACGGCCUUAGGGUUGUAAACCGCUUUCAGCAGGGGCGAAGCUUGUGGUGACGGUACCUGCAGAAGAAGCACCGGCUAACUACGUG
RNAcentral lists this ribosomal RNA (465 nucleotides) under uncultured bacterium. Its description in RNAcentral is "partial 16S ribosomal RNA". It matches the Rfam family "Bacterial small subunit ribosomal RNA", at positions 28 to 507 of the family's 1533-position model. The record is from RNAcentral.